This 2985-nucleotide long non-coding RNA is filed under the name Sorghum bicolor (sorghum). RNAcentral describes it as "long non-coding RNA (SBIC_LNC012395)". Lineage: Eukaryota; Viridiplantae; Streptophyta; Magnoliopsida; Poales; Poaceae. The record is from RNAcentral.
CUACCUUUGUUUAUCCUAGUAAGUGUUAGUUUGGAAGUACUGCACAUACUUCUAUUGGCUUUUAAAUUAAGCAUGGUGCUUAGGUUAAACAGCCUUCCUUAAUCUGAUUAGACAUGGAGUCUAGUUUGGUUAUUGAACUAAAAACUGCUUGAGUAGAUAUUGGUAUAUUUUGUCGGACUAACCCCUGCAGGAAAACUUUCAAUAUCAACCUGGGAAGUUCUGAGAUAAACUCACAUUGGAGACAAGGAGAGGGACACAUGAAGUUUAACAAUUUACACAAGGAAGACGUAGCUCAUAAGAGAUGAUCCAUAGAGGGUGCCACAAACACGAUACACAACCACUACGAAUGGGAAGCUUCCACAAGGUAAGAUGGUACCAUCCCUCUUCAAUUAAGGUAACAUCUUAAGAUAUCUGACUAUCACUUUUAUAAGCUUCUCCUUGGUUCUCGUGUUCACAUUAAUAAAGAGAUAAACAUGUAUGAUUUAUAACUCCAAAUUAACCAACCCAACUGAUUAGCAUGUUUAGUCCUUUAAUCUUUGUUCCUAGUACUACCUCCAUGAUCCCACACUCCUAAUCAUAUGAGCUAAAAUGUUACACAUUCAAUCUUUGAGAUAUAUAAAAAAAAUACAUAUACAUAGAUAGAUUAUCUUUCCAUAAGGUUGAGCGAUCUGAUCUGACAAAUGUUAUAAGUACUACACUCAUGAACUUAUCAUCCAUCAACUUUGUCUUGCUCACUAUGCUUAAGGUUAGAGAAGAACAAAUACACUUUUGGUUCUGUUGGUGUUUUCCACCAACAGGACCCAUGCACUUGAUCUCUGCCUUGUCUCUAUGAGCAGGUACACUUCGAGCAAAACAUGGAGGAGUUUUAUAACUCUCAGACUCUACCAAGUGAAGGACCUGGAUCUACGAGCACAAACACACUGAGCAGGAUACUGCUAACGCCGCACUUCGAACUACUGGGCAAACGAAGAACAUGGGUGACACCGUAUUAAAUGACGCACCUGAAGAAUGAACACGGUGAGAAGUCUUGUUCAGAAGACUUAAAACAUUGAACCCUCGCCGAAAGGUAAAAUCGGUAGUUAUCCAUAUUUAUCCUUUCUGCAUUCCCUUUUCCCUUUAAUUACUUACUUUCCUUAAAUAGCUUAUUAGUUAAUCAUGCUAUCUUGAAAAGAAAAUAAAAAUGUUAAAAAUACUAAGCCCCAUAUGAGUAUGCUCGUGGCAUGAAACCCAUAAGUACAUCACUGUGGUGGCGUAAAAAUAAAAUAAAUAUAUUCCUGUCCUAUAGAAAUGAAAAUAUAAAAAUAAAUUUAUGGUCCUACCAAAGAGAGUAAUAUUUAUUAGAGGAAGCUCAACAUGAUAAAGGUGAAGAAAUUUUAUGCUAACACUUAACCAGUUCCACAAAGCUUUGUUGUCUAUUUGAGCUCCACAGAAUCCAAGGAUCAAAGAAGACUAGCAGACGGAGGACAUUCUAAUCGCUGUCAGGGUGAUGCCGACAUUCCAAUACACCUCCGCCACCUGCUAGCUACAUCAGAUGAAAUUAUGUAAAAAUCCAGCUUGGGGGAGAGCACCCCCAUUUAUCUAGCUAAGUGUUUCUACGCAUGUUUAUACUUUACUCAAAUAAUAAAUAGAUGCAUAAUCAUAAAAACCCAAAUAAAGAUUUUAUGCUUAUAUAUAUAUCUUUGCUUAGUUUGCUAAAUAAAUAAAUAAAUAAAGUUUGCUUUGAACCCUCAUGAUAAACUCUCACAUGGAAAUGAUGAAUAGUUGCUCUGCCAUGACUAGUUCUCAAAAGUGAAAUCUCUCUCAAGUUUAGGUAUGACUAUUAUGAAUUAAGAUUUGCUCUAAACCUAAACUUGUGGGAACAGUGCGUUGAUCUAAAGUCUAAGUCGUUAACGGAUAUGAUAUGGAAAGGUUGAGCUGCUGUUUAUCUGUUCCUAGAGAUGCCAGAACUCUGGAGAAUUUUAUCUUAAAAAAAAUCUUUAAAAUAUUGCAUGAUGAGUUCCUGUAUGAUGAGAGUUUAAAAUCCUACCACAGCCAUAUAUACAUGCUUAUUAGACUAUGAACCAUACAUUUACUUUUUACUACUUAUGAGCAUUGAGUGUGGUCAAGUUGUGUAGACCCUUAGGAGCUUGUCAUGUGGUUAAAAUCAAGAUCCACUUGCACGUUCACUCAUACAUGCUGCUUCUACUCUAGAAGUACGCAUCCACAUACAUCCAUUCAUUUGUAUCUCCAGAUUCACCCAAAAUUAUUCUACUCCUAUCCUGGAGAGAAUAGCCAAAAACAUUAUUCUAUCCCUGUUAUUCCCCAUGAAAUAAAUGCUCUUGAUAUUUUGGUUACUACCACUUGCUACAUUAUUCUAGGAGGGUGAGUGCUCUGAAAAAAAAGAGUGAAUAUGAGGAAAUAAUAAGAGGCAAGUGCCCGAAACCUCAAAGAAAAGAAAAAGAGACGAGAGGUAAAAAUGGACAAGUGUCCGACAGUAGAAUUAGGGGUACAAGAUACCCACCUGAGAGAUAAGAAAAAAAAGAAAAUAUAGAGCAUCUCAUUCCCUUCAAAAAGCUUCAAAGUGCAAGAAAGGUAUGUAUCCCCUCAAAAGAGCAAAAGUAGAAUUAGACUUUCACCAAUGUUUUCACCAUUAUCACCAUCAUCACCAUACACCAUUCAUUCGCCACACAUGCACAUCAUGAUUUGACUUAUUGACUUGUUUCUCUGGAUCCAUGGUUUGACUAUGCAAUAAAUGUCUUGUAUGUAUGUAUUAGCUGUCUCCCACCAAUGAGCUCCAGAUAUCAAACCUUAUUAGAGUAGGGUGAGAGAGAAGGCAAUAUCACUAUGCCUCAUACCACAAAUACUACAUACUUUGAGAGAAGGCGUAUAUCAUCAUUGCCUUGGUAAGGAUCCAGAAAUACCAUAAAAGAGAGAUUUGAAAGAGUUAUACAAGGAAUCUCUGAGUUUGAUUUUGAAAAUCUACAAAAACUCUAGAGGUAUAGUUGA